RNAcentral lists this non-coding RNA (173 nucleotides) under Enterococcus italicus. Its description in RNAcentral is "Lysine sequence". It matches the Rfam family "Lysine riboswitch aptamer". Rfam says of the family: Riboswitches are metabolite binding domains within certain messenger RNAs that serve as precision sensors for their corresponding targets. Allosteric rearrangement of mRNA structure is mediated by ligand binding, and this results in modulation of gene expression. Lineage: Bacteria; Bacillati; Bacillota; Bacilli; Lactobacillales; Enterococcaceae. RNAcentral also lists the same sequence under 1 other name. The record is from RNAcentral.
CAUCGAGGUAGAGGUCGCGAGGUUCAUUAAUCCUGUGGAGUGGAGCAACACGUAGAAACAGGCCUAGGGAACAUCGCCGAAAUGACACUUUUUUGCUUAAAAAGUGUGGUUGGGUCGUAAGUAAAUAACUUACGAACUGUCUUAGCAAUUCGCUAAGGUGCGCUAUGUUUUGU